UUAUAUAUGCGUAUGUGAUUGCAGGGUUCUAAGCUUUACGGAAAAUCCAACCGAAAGUUCCUUAAAUAAGAAACUUUCGAUUGGGUUUUCCGUAAAGCUUAAAACCCCGCAAUUGCAUACACAUAUAUAA
Brassica napus (rape) is the source of this 130-nucleotide non-coding RNA. The record is from Rfam. Lineage: Eukaryota; Viridiplantae; Streptophyta; Magnoliopsida; Brassicales; Brassicaceae.